CCUACGGGCGGCAGCAGUGAGGAAUAUUGGUCAAUGGACGAGAGUCUGAACCAGCCAAGCAGCGUGAAGGAGGACUGCCCUAUGGGUUGUAAACUUCUUUUAUAUGGGAAUAAAACAGGGUAUGCAUACCCUCUUGUAUGUACCAUAAGAAUAAGGAUCGGCUAACUCCGUGCCAGCAGCCGCGGUAAUACGGAGGAUCCGAGCGUUAUCCGGAUUUAUUGGGUUUAAAGGGAGCGUAGGUGGAUUGUUAAGUCAGUUGUGAAAGUUUGCGGCUCAACCGUAAAAUUGCAGUUGAAACUGGCAGUCGUGAGUACAGUAGAGGUGGGCGGAAUUCGUGGUGUAGCGGUGAAAUGCUUAGAUAUCACGAAGAACUCCGAUUGCGAAGGCAGCUCACUGGACUGCAACUGACACUGAUGCUCGAAAGUGUGGGUAUCAAACAGGAUUAGAUACCCGAGUAGUC
RNAcentral lists this ribosomal RNA (460 nucleotides) under uncultured bacterium. RNAcentral describes it as "partial 16S ribosomal RNA". It matches the Rfam family "Bacterial small subunit ribosomal RNA", at positions 338 to 795 of the family's 1533-position model. The record is from RNAcentral.